Molecule: long non-coding RNA, 2323 nt
Organism: Sus scrofa (pig)
Lineage: Eukaryota; Metazoa; Chordata; Mammalia; Artiodactyla; Suidae
Source: RefSeq, a predicted model, not a curated record
UGGAUAUAGAGAUUCAGAUUUGUAAUUUGAAAAGAGAUCUGGAGAUUGGUGGACGUGUACCCUUUGCAAUGGUAAAUUUUAUGUCAUGUGUAUUUUACCACAAUGAAAGAUAAGAUAAAAAAGCAAAAGAAAAAAAAAGGAAUUUACUUAGAAGACAAUGUCUUAUUCUAGGCUGUCUUAAAAUUAUUGAAUGAUAAAUUCACCAGUUAAUAAAUAGACUUCUAUUGACAAAAGAAAGAAAGAAAGGGAAAGAAAAAGAGAGGGAGAGAAGAGGGAGGGACGGAGGGAGGAAGGAAGAAAAAAAAGUCCUGAUUGGGAAUAAGACGGCCCCUGUCCAGACGGGGACAAACUUGGGCAAGGCGUCGCCAGGGCUGGGCCAUUUGGGAAAGUCCGUGGCGGAGGCACAGGGCUGGGCUGGAAGCGAGGGAGGUGCCUGCGAGGAAGGGCAGGGGCCUCUCUGUGGUCAGUGGAAUGGGAUUAGGAUCGGGAUUAGGACUCCUAGUGUGGAAACAGCAUGGACAUCCCACCGCAAAGGUGUCUCUCUGCUUUCAGGAAACGGCCGGGAGCGAAGCAGCUUUCUGACAGGCAUUACGGUCCCAGCGUGGAAAGUGUCCGGGUACCUGACACGCAGACAGGCCCUCUUCUGCUGGGCCAUCCAGAUCCUUAGUGACCCUCCAUGUGGCAAAUGGGACAGGAGAUUUCUUUCCCUGGGAAGAGUCCGUGGAUUCUCCUGGCUGGGGUUUUAGGAAAGGAAGUCGCAUGCCUGUGCCCACCAUCGCCUGACAAAACCCAAGCAUCCCAGGACCAGAGGAGAAGGGCACAUUGGAACCUCCCAGAUACACCUUUUUGCUACUGAGAGUGAUAAGGAACUAAAGGGGUCAGGAGGCUAGUCAUAGGACCCAAGUCCAAAACCACCUAUCAACAGCUACUAUGUUCCAGGAGAUCAUCUUGAGGCUGUGGCUGUAAUGAAAGCUUCAACAAAGAUCUGUCUGGUGGAGGGUCUACACCACCUGAAUUAAUGAACCUCCUCACGGGUCGACACACGGAUCCAUCCACGUCGCCAUGAACAAGACGUCUGCUUCCCGAAUAGAAAAGCCACUGUCCACACCAAUGCAAAGGCAUCCACCGCCUUGAAAGUUGAGGAGACGUUCUAAAGCCUUCAAGGAAAGGCCUCCGUCAAGGUGAAGGAGAUGAGAUGGGGUACCAGUUGAGACGAGAGUGAAUUUCCACCGCUCACCCACCUGUGCCCAGGUUUGGACGGGAGGUGGCAUCCUGCAGCGCUCUGGCCCUGGCGAGCCACGUCCUCAGAAGCAAAGAAUCCUACGAGUUGCUUAGACUUGUUUUGCGGUCUUGACUGUUUUGCGGCGUCUCCCUGACAGCCGAAGCAGCGAUUUUUCUCAGCAUCUUCUUACCUCACUCUCUUACAUCAAGCUCAGAAAGAAAAGAGUUGACCUUUUCCUAUGACAGAUGGGCAAGCUGAGAUGCAAAGAGACGCAGGACUCAUUAGAGGUGCCUCCCGUGUGCGUGGCCAUGCCAGCUUUGUUUGGACCUCUUAAAACCCACAGCCUCAUCCUGGCAGGCUUUUCCUUGACCACCUGCUCUAAAAGAUCUGGAAGCAGGUUCAGCGAGAGAAGCUCCGGAGGAAGCAGGUCGCACACCUUUCCCAAGUCUUCCGGGGAUAGAAGCCAGGCACCGAUAAUAACCGUGCAAACAAGUUGAUGCUGCUAUUUUUAAAUAAGCUGUUAUUAUUGACUAACAGAGGUUGCCGUGGGUGGGAUGACAAAGCCUGGAAGCCAGAGAGUUGCUGCGAAGACUUCCACGAGAGAGCUCGUUAAUGAGAAGCAGCUAAGUGCAGAGCUAAAUGCUGGCUGCCAUUCUUUCUGCUCCAUCUUCUCUGGGGCAGUGCUGAGCUGCUGGCCGGGUGCAUCAUCCCAGAUUCCCUGACAUUCCCCCGACCUUUUGUCUGUGGCCGUGUAACAUCGUCAGGUAAGGUGAGGAGCCGAAGGCAAGAGGUGUUAAAUGGCAGAGGUGUUUGCCAAUAGCCAGGGAUAUUUUUAUAUCAAAAUCUGGAGCGGUCACUACUGUAGGUGGCUCUGCUCCCACGUACACAGUCCGCACGCCCUGAUACAGGAGCUAGAGCAAUUCCAGUGAUCCUUGGCACACACAUGUGCACACACACAUAAUGCACAUAGAUGCGUGCAGACACUCAGCAAUGAGCUAGGUCUCCUCCAGAAUGUUCUGUGCCUUAGUGCAUUUGAUUGUUUGUUUGUUUGUUUUGUCUUUUUGUCUUUUCUAGGGCUGCACCCUUGGCAUAUGGAGGUUC